RNAcentral lists this ribosomal RNA (344 nucleotides) under uncultured bacterium. RNAcentral describes it as "bacterial SSU rRNA". It matches the Rfam family "Bacterial small subunit ribosomal RNA", at positions 8 to 350 of the family's 1533-position model. The record is from RNAcentral.
AGAGUUUGAUCCUGGCUCAGGAUGAACGCUAGCGACAGGCUUAACACAUGCAAGUCGAGGGGCAGCGGGGGUAGCAAUACCCGCCGGCGACCGGCGCACGGGUGAGUAACGCGUAUGCAACCUGCCCACCACUUGGGGAUAACCUUGCGAAAGUAAGACUAAUACCCAAUGACGUCUCUAGAAGACAUCUGAAGGAGAUUAAAGAUUUAUCGGUGAUGGAUGGGGAUGCGUCUGAUUAGCUUGUUGGCGGGGUAACGGCCACCAAGGCGACGAUCAGUAGGGGUUCUGAGAGGAAGGUCCCCCACAUUGGAACUGAGACACGGUCCAAACUCCUACGGGAGGCA